Molecule: non-coding RNA, 263 nt
Organism: Pelobates cultripes (western spadefoot toad)
Lineage: Eukaryota; Metazoa; Chordata; Amphibia; Anura; Pelobatidae
Source: the annotation of a GenBank genome assembly
AGUUCUACAUGGCAUUUUAACGGUCAAUGUCAUAAUACUGUUUGCUUUUACUGCAAUAAAAUACACAUAUUUGUAUUCAGCAAAGUCUCACGUGUAAAACAGUACCCCCUAUGUACAGGUUUUAUGGCGUUUUGGGAAGUUACAGGGUCAAAUAUAGCACGUUACAUUUGAAAUUGAAAUUCGCCAGAUUGGCUACGUUGCCUUUGGGACUUUAUAGUAGCCCAGGAAAGAAAUUUACACCCAUAAUGGCAUAUCAUUUGCAA